RNAcentral lists this ribosomal RNA (782 nucleotides) under uncultured bacterium. RNAcentral's name for it is "bacterial SSU rRNA". It matches the Rfam family "Bacterial small subunit ribosomal RNA", at positions 8 to 796 of the family's 1533-position model. The record is from RNAcentral.
AGAGUUUGAUCCUGGCUCAGAAUCAACGCUGGCGGCGUGCCUAACACAUGCAAGUCGAGCGAGAAAAGGGGAGCAAUCCUCUGAGUAAAGCGGCGCACGGGUGAGUAACACGUGGGUAAUCUGCCCUGAAGUGGGGAAUAACACCGGGAAACCGGUGCUAAUACCGCAUAUGAUCACGGUGUCUGCGGACACAGGGAUGAAAGGAGCAAUUCGCUUCAGGAGGAGCCCGCGGCUGAUUAGCUAGUUGGUGAGGUAAUGGCCCACCAAGGCUACGAUCAGUAUCCGGUCUGAGAGGACGGUCGGACACACUGGAACUGAGACACGGUCCAGACUCCUACGGGAGGCAGCAGUGGGGAAUUUUUCGCAAUGGGGGCAACCCUGACGAAGCAACGCCGCGUGGAUGAUGAAGUAUCUCGGUACGUAAAAUCCUUUCGACAGGGAAGAAACCGCAAGGUUGACGGUACCUGUAGAAGAAGCCCCGGCUAACUCCGUGCCAGCAGCCGCGGUAAUACGGGGGGGGCUAGCGUUGUUCGGAAUUACUGGGCGUAAAGGGCGCGUAGGCGGUCUGCUAAGUUGGAUGUGAAAACUCUGGGCUUAACCCAGAGCCUGCAUUCAAUACUGACAGGCUAGAGUUCUGGAGGGGAUAGCGGAAUUCCUGGUGUAGCGGUGAAAUGCGUAGAUAUCAGGAGGAACACCGGUGGCGAAGGCGGCUAUCUGGACAGAGUCUGACGCUGAGGCGCGAAAGCUAGGGGAGCAAACAGGAUUAGAUACCCUAGUAGUCC